This is a long non-coding RNA of Rhododendron vialii, 1838 nucleotides long. RefSeq lists it as uncharacterized. The transcript has 2 exons. Lineage: Eukaryota; Viridiplantae; Streptophyta; Magnoliopsida; Ericales; Ericaceae. The record is from RefSeq and is a predicted model, not a curated record.
UCAAUUCGAUGAUCUGAUUUGUCCACACUGUGGAACUUGUCAAUUAGAAUUAUUCUGUAUCACAUCAAUUCAAUCUAAUGCCUCUUGGAGUUUAAUCGAAGAAGAUAUAUCUCAAAAAAAAAUUGAUAAAAGUGAGCCGGAUACACUUGAUUACAACUUGAAAGGGCCUUUUGUUUUUUUCUUCUCCUUCUGGUCGUCGGGGUCCGUUAUUACCGGGGCAAAUCCGAAGUCGACCUUCGCCGCCGCCGAUCCGAGUUCCGGUCACCGUUGCAAAUCCAAGUCUAACUCGUCCACGCGGCCGAACCCGUUGCAUUUAAUCCAAUUCCAUGGCCGUAUCGGUAUUAGAAAUUGAUGGAAGGUAUAUCAUGCCUCCCACGUGUUUUACAUUUGGCUUAUGAAAGAAAGUUGUUUCUGUGAAGUCUUGAUUCGAAAAUGAGCAGCACAUUCUUUCAUCUGAAGGUUUCUGGGUUCACGGAUGAAUGAGAAAGUUUUGCAGAUGGUAGUAAAAAAAAGAGGGUAAAAAAGAUUGCAGGCUUCAAACUUCCACGCGAGUCGAGGACCAAAAUUCAAUCCGAGGGGAUACAAACCCAGUUGCAGACGUGAUGCUAUGGACGAGAAAGCUCUUACAGUGGAGAUUCUGUAAGUAACUCUUGCUGUUUGGUUGGUGUUUGAUAUAUCUGGCUAUGCCCUUCUAUCACUUGUCUAGUGUUCGUUUCCUCUGGGCUUAUUCUGCAGAAAUUCUGAAUUGGUAACCUUCAAUAAUUUCUGAUGUUUUUAUGCUUCUUUUCCGUAGUAAGAUGAUGGUGUUUGUCAACCUUAAGGUAUCCAACUAUAGUUAUUUACAGUACCGGUUAUGGGCUCCUGCACUGUUGUUUCGAAUCAUUCUUGACCUUAUUCUUAACUGCAGUCUUUUGGGUACUCGUAUUUUGACAUGUGAUCAGCUUGCAUCACUGAGGACAUCUCAGAGCCACUAGCCAAAGAAAUAGCAAUGACUAGGAGUCCUUAUACCAGGUGUUCCAGGUCCAUUGUCUUCCGACAAAGCUAAAUCGCGUCUCUUGCUCUCAAUUCUGCAGCUUUUGAAAGAAAGCUAUGGCUGAGGCACCAACCUUAUUGGAAACCAACACAUAUAGGCUAAGGGUCAGGUUUGUUGUACAACAGAGGCUGAGUAAUAAAGACAGGUUGAGGGGCUCGGGAAUGAUGCUUGAUUAUUGUUGUUGCUUGUGCAGAAAUGAUGUAGAAACACUCGAUCAUAGCCAUCUCUCUUUUGAAUGCUCUUAUUCCUGAUCCAUUUGAAAGAGUUUGAUGUCCAGAAACAUGGGUCGAGGCAUGCCUUGGAAAAUGGUGAACAUUUUUGAAUGGUUCAGCUUUGAUGUCAAGGGCAAGGGCCUCAAAAGUAUUUAGUCUUCAGUUGCUCUUUGGCUGCUGCAGUUUAUAGCUUUUGGAGGGAAAGAAAUCGUAGCGUAUUUCAAGGCAAAUUAACUGAACAAUCUCAGCUCUUGCUCAGAAUUUCCAAUGAAGUUAGGGAUUUGCCGAACUUUCUUUUCUCUCUUAAUAAUGGGUUUUUACUUCCCGUAAGCUCUUAUCCAAUACCCAUCAGGCCAUCAUUGAAAUAGUGUUUGGCUAACUCAAUUGACCAUGACUGCAAAUAAUGCAAAAUACUUUCUGGGUCUAUCUCAUCCAAUGCACCUUUUUCGUCUUCCUGGGUUCUUGUGAUUGGAUCUAAAGUAAUGGUUUUCGAUUGGCACUAACUGAAAUUAACUUCCUUUCUAUGAUAUUACUCGGUACGUCUUUACUAUAUAGAGUAAAUUUUUAAGGAAAAGAUCAAACAAUUUUCAACU